This 468-nucleotide ribosomal RNA is filed under the name uncultured bacterium. RNAcentral's name for it is "partial 16S ribosomal RNA". It matches the Rfam family "Bacterial small subunit ribosomal RNA", at positions 28 to 507 of the family's 1533-position model. The record is from RNAcentral.
GACGAACGCUGGCGGCGUGCUUAACACAUGCAAGUCGAACGGAAAGGCCCUGCUUUUGUGGGGUGCUCGAGUUGCGAACGGGUGAGUAACACGUGUGUCACCUGCCCUUGACUUUGGGAUCACUUCAGGAAACUGGGGCUACUACCGGAUAGGCGCUCCUGCUGCGUGGUGGGGUUUGGAUAGUUUCGGCGGUUGGGGAUGGACUCGCGGCUUAUCCGCUUGUUGUUGGGGUAGUGGCUUACCAAGGCUUUGACGGGUAGCCGGCCUGAGAGGGUGACCGGCCACACUGGGACUGCGAUACGGCCCAGACGCCGACGGGAGGCAGCAGUGGGGAAUAUUGCACAAUGGGCGGAAGCCUGAUGCAGCAACGCCGCGUGCGGGAUGACGGCCUUCGGGUUGUAAACCGCUUUCGCCUGUGACGAAGCGUGAGUGACGGUAAUGGGUAAAGAAGCACCGGCUAACUACGUG